This 394-nucleotide long non-coding RNA is filed under the name Homo sapiens (human). RNAcentral's name for it is "non-protein coding lnc-PLA2G4A-7:2". Lineage: Eukaryota; Metazoa; Chordata; Mammalia; Primates; Hominidae. The record is from RNAcentral.
UGUCAGAAACUCAGCUCAGCUGGAAGAAACUUGAUGUACCAGGUAUCAGAGUAGCAAGUAAAGCCACAAGCCAAAAAUGAAAGAGAAUCUUUUAAGUGCUUAUCGUGAUGGUGUAAGUAAUUGUCCAAAAGAAACGCCGAUUCCUUCUGUUCCAUUUUUACCUGUGGAUUGUGGAUUGAAAUAACCAUUGGACCAUGAGGAGAGACUCUGAAGAGAGGUAUGUGACAGAGUGGGGCCUAGGGGUGGCUAGUGAUAUGUGAUAUAAUACUCUUUUGUGACGUUGGACCAUGGCAGUGAGCCGCAGCUCCCAGUCAGCAAUGCGAUCCCAAGAAUAAACAACCGAUUCUUGACAGUGUCCUAUGUUGCCAGUCGAUUUUGUUCAACAGUAGGUACA